Molecule: ribosomal RNA, 561 nt
Filed under: uncultured archaeon
Lineage: Archaea
Description: bacterial SSU rRNA
Rfam family: Archaeal small subunit ribosomal RNA
Source: RNAcentral
CGAUUCGCCCUUCGGGGUGCCCAGGCGCGAAAACUUUGCCUACACGAAAGUGUGACAGGGUUAUCCCGAGUGCCGACCGCUGAGGUUGGCUUUUACCCAGUCUAGAAAGCUGGGGGAAUAAGGAGAGGGCAAGUCUGGUGUCAGCCGCCGCGGUAAUACCAGCUCUCCGAGUGGUGUGGACGUUUAUUGGGCCUAAAGCAUCCGUAGCUGGCUGAACAAGUCCCCUGUUAAACCCACCGAUUUAAUCGUUGGCGUGCGGGGGAUACUGCUCGGCUAGGGGACGAGAGAGGCAGACGGUAUUCCCGGGGUAGGGGUGAAAUCCUAUAAUCCCGAGAAGACCACCAGUGGCGAAGGCUGUCUGCUAGAACGCGCCCGACGGUGAGGGAUGAAAGCUGGGGGAGCGAACCGGAUUAGAUACCCGGGUAGUCCCAGCUGUAAACGAUGCAGACUAGGUGUUUGGACGGCCACGUGCCGUUCUAGUGCCGCAGGGAAGCUGUUAAGUCUGCCGCCUGGGGAGUACGAUCGCAAGAUUGAAACUUAAAGGAAUUGGCGGGGGAGCAC